Molecule: ribosomal RNA, 253 nt
Filed under: uncultured bacterium
Lineage: Bacteria
Description: partial 16S ribosomal RNA
Rfam family: Bacterial small subunit ribosomal RNA
Source: RNAcentral
GACAGAGGGUGCAAACGUUGUUCGGAUUUACUGGGCGUAAAGGGCUCGUAGGCGGCCAACUAAGUCAGACGUGAAAUCCCUCGGCUUAACCGGGGAACUGCGUCUGAUACUGGAUGGCUUGAAUCCGGGAGAGGGAUGCGGAAUUCCAGGUGUAGCGGUGAAAUGCGUAGAUAUCUGGAGGAACACCGGUGGCGAAGGCGGCAUCCUGGACCGGCAUUGACGCUGAGGAGCGAAAGCCAGGGGAGCAAACGGG